CGGAUAGCGCGUCCUUUAAGCUUCAAAAUGAUACCAAGAUCGACCUCCUAGCUACUUUCUUUCCAGAGAUAUGUUCGAGGGAACGCUACGAAGGACGCUCAAACGUCAUGAAUAAUUGAAGUUCAAUUAUUGCCUUCCGGGCACUUCCGGGCACUUCCGUAUACUCAUAAAGCAGAUGUUCUGGAGAAGACAAGUUAGUUAGAUGAAGGCUAGGCGUUCUAGGACUCUCUAGCUAGCUAGUAUAGCUAUGUAGCUGGUUGCUUGGCACCUAGGAAGGAUCUUCGAAGAAAUAAAGAGACAAAGACUCCCGUCGCUCGAAUGGUGGUGGUAAGUGUCGGAGGCCUGAGAAACGCUAGUCAAUUGGCUAGAAUGUUGUUAUGGAGUGUUUAUGAGGACAAGUGGCACGGGAUAUGUACAUCUAAAGAAACAAGAGUGGAUCUACGCCAAGCUAGCUAGCUAGAUAGCUGCUCUUUCUAAUCUAUAUCUAUUUCUGUUGCUAAAUUAUGUUUGUUAAGAAGUGGAGCUAUAAUAUACCUGGCUCCUCUUGAUGAUUGUAAGUACUGGGCUGAUGAAAUAGUCCUGUACAAGUUGUCAUCUUUUAUUUGUUAAAAAUAAUUAACAAUAAUAGGGAAAUUCCCAGGGAAUUUCCACGGUAAAUUUGAUUGUAAAAAAUGGUUCAACGUCCGCGUUUGACCUGUUUAAAGCU
Molecule: long non-coding RNA, 706 nt
Organism: Halichondria panicea
Lineage: Eukaryota; Metazoa; Porifera; Demospongiae; Suberitida; Halichondriidae
Exons: 3
Source: RefSeq, a predicted model, not a curated record